RNAcentral lists this ribosomal RNA (253 nucleotides) under uncultured bacterium. RNAcentral's name for it is "partial 16S ribosomal RNA". It matches the Rfam family "Bacterial small subunit ribosomal RNA", at positions 524 to 776 of the family's 1533-position model. The record is from RNAcentral.
UACGUAGGGUGCGAGCGUUAAUCGGAAUUACUGGGCGUAAAGCGUGCGCAGGCGGUUUGUUAAGACAGGUGUGAAAUCCCCGGGCUCAACCUGGGAAUGGCGCUUGUAACUGGCAGGCUAGAGUGUGUCAGAGGGAGGUAGAAUUCCACGUGUAGCAGUGAAAUGCGUAGAGAUGUGGAGGAAUACCGAUGGCGAAGGCAGCCUCCUGGGAUAACACUGACGCUCAUGCACGAAAGCGUGGGGAGCAAACAGG